Molecule: non-coding RNA, 230 nt
Filed under: [Clostridium] symbiosum
Lineage: Bacteria; Bacillati; Bacillota; Clostridia; Lachnospirales; Lachnospiraceae
Description: Clostridium symbiosum T-box sequence
Rfam family: T-box leader
About the family: Uncharged tRNA acts as the effector for transcription antitermination of genes in the T-box leader family. T-boxes are found upstream of many aminoacyl-tRNA synthetase genes and some amino acid biosynthetic genes usually in Gram-positive bacteria. The anticodon of a specific tRNA base pairs to a specifier sequence within the T-box motif, and the NCCA acceptor tail of the tRNA base pairs to a conserved bulge in the T-box antiterminator hairpin.
Source: RNAcentral
AAAAAGGCUGCGAAAGUGUCAGUAGAAUCUUAUUUCCCAUCAGAGAGAAGGAAUCACCGGCUGUAAGUUCCUUCAGGUUCAGAUAAGUGUUCGAAUUUCCCACCGGAGCUGCAUGGCCGAACCGUGAUACAUUCAGUAGGCUGUGACGGAUCAUACACGUUACGUAUAAGAUAAGAGCCUGCAUGGCAGGAAACAGGGUGGUACCGCGAGCUUGAUGCCUCGUCCCUUCG